This 384-nucleotide long non-coding RNA is filed under the name Parus major (Great Tit). RNAcentral's name for it is "lncRNA (ENSPMJG00000003692.1)". The record is from RNAcentral. Lineage: Eukaryota; Metazoa; Chordata; Aves; Passeriformes; Paridae.
GAGCUGGAAGAACUGAGUGUUUGAUCACUUUAUGUUAAGCAUAUAUAGUAUGGGCAUGGAAGUACCUUGAAGUCUUCAACCCUAAUGCCUGCUCCUAGGACAAUUUAGUAUGAAUUUUAACUUAAUGAAACCUCCUGGGUCUGCAGGACACCAAUAUGCUGUCUGAUUUCACUGCUGGAAGAUAUCCGAACUGAGCUGUGGAGUAUUCUAGAUACUCUUUACUACAUCAGUAAAUGCUGGGGAAAAUGGGAAGCUUGGAUGGGGAGAGCCAAGCAGAAUGUUCAUUGAAAUGUUCAAGACUGGAAUGAAGAUGAUGGUGGAAAAGUCAACAACACCAUAUAGGUAAUAUUAUUGUCCACAGUAAUGACAUGAAAGAGAAAUGAC